GCUCAUAGAUAUCAUAUAAAUAUGGAAAAUGGAACCAAAUCAAUGACAAAUAGAGUCCCUUGCAUAUCUCUCUUCGAUGUUUCUAAAACACGUUACAACAGAUAAAAACAAAAAGAAAAGGGGGGCAAAAGUUAUAAAGCAAGCAGGAACAAGAUAGGUAAUGUUGUUUUUAAAAGAUGUGAAAUCGUCAGUUAUGACAGUGAUUAAGUGAUAUACAAUGGCAAGUUUUACAAAUUCCAAGAUUGCUUGCUUGACAAGGACGAGUUAUGCAUCUAUCCGAGGCUUAAGCAAGUACCUCUUACAUCAAACUCUCAUCACUUCCUGAUUGAGAGGAGCUCAAAGCUCCUAAAAGUGUCCUCACGGGUGCCUUUAGAAGAAGCCACAGCACGGGUAGAUGAUUUUGACUCAUACCCAGGUUGGAUUCUCUGUGAAGAAGUCAGACGGCCACCACUUGAGAGUAAUCUGCUGGGACGACCUUCACUAGGUUCACCAGAGGAACUUGGCCUACUAUUUGAGAUGACAGCUUUUCUUGUGUUGCUGCCAUAUCGAGAAGAACUACGGCCUUUCUCUGGCUCAAGUUGCUGCAAGUGCUAGCCAAAGAUGGCACUUAUUAAGAAUUUUGCAACAGAAAUAGAACACUUGAAUGCAGUACUAUUGCUGCUAUGACUUUAUUUAGAGCAAAAAUUGAAUCACCAUGCCAUGCUACCAUAAAAUAAGCAAAAGUAAAUGAACCAAGACAUCGCAGGUUUUAAGUUACGUUUCAAUUUCAUCAACCCGCUAAACUUGGCUGUCCUUGGAAAGUCCAUUCACUUACAUAUCCUUUUUUCUCCGAUUCUUGUCUGAUUUCCAAUUUGGCUCUAUUCACCAGCAGAAAUAAACGGGAUUCUGAUAGCUAGGACUCAAAUCUAACUUUCAGAAUCAAAGCCUUGGUUGUUACUGAAAUAUAAUUGAACUAAUGAAGCAAUAAAACAAUGUACAAUUCAACCCAACUCAAUGAAGCCUAACAAAUAAAACAAUGUACACACAGUAGUCUGUUAUCUUACCGUGCAAGAUCUUAAGUUUAAAAUCAAUGAAACAUUUUAAAAGAUUUGGCUUCAAGUCUGAACUAAAGCAAGCAAGAAGACUGUGGGCUACUUCCCCUAUUUUAAAAUUUGCUUUCAUGGUUAAAAUGAUAUGAUCCAUUUUAGACUCCAAAUGGUAGAAAACUCAAUUGGUACUAAUCAGCUUGUCAUCAGAAUUUCAAAUGCAUAGAAAAUUGGACAACAAAUUUUUUUUAUAGUUUCUUCUGAAAUUAACCACAGGAUGAGCUUACAUUUUCAGAAGACCUGUUUCUGGAAUUGUCAUGUGGACUAGAGCCUGAGAUCUUCCUUGUAGAAAAUGCUUCAACUGCACCUGACAAUCUAUCCCGAAUCUCUUUCCCAACUGAGACCUUUUCUGUGGGUCUUUCUGCAGAUGGUCCUGCAUGACCUGGUUUCCCACUGGAAUGCCGUCCUCUAGAGCUGGAACUAAUCUGAGGGUAUUUCAAAACCGUCCAGUCAAAAACAUAGUCAAACUGGAAGCCUGUAGAAUAGAGCAACAGAUACAAUGACAACAUCAAAUGCCAAUUCAUAAUUCAGAGGGUAAAAAAGAAUUCAAGACAAAAUACUAGAAUAGGUACGACAAAUUUAAAGCCAUUCAACAAGUUAUAUAAACCUUCACGAAUAAAGAGAUCGCGAAAUAUUCUUUUAAGGUAAGCAUAAUCAGGCUUAUCAUCAAAUCGUAAUGAACGGCAGUAAUGAAAGUAGGACGCAAAUUCGGUUGGAUAACCCCUACAUAAGGCUUCAAUUGAAGUGGAGACCUUCUUUUCACUAAUUUUCUCAUACUUCUGUUUCUUCGUUCCCGCUUUUAGUCCUUGCCAAGGAAGACUUCCUCUUAGGAAGUACAUAAGAACAUAACCCAAAGAUUCUAAAUCAUCCCUCCGGCUUUGCUCUAUGACAGUCCAAUAAGUCAGAAACAAAUUAAUGAAAUGAUAGAAGAGGGAACGUUUGACUGGAAAACCAACAAAUUGAUGAGAUUGCCAAGUGCAAAAAGAUAGGAAGCUUGUACCAAUUCCCAGGUGCGUGUUCAUACUUGCAUAUCUAGCAGUUCCAGUCAAAUUUUUAUUUUCCCUGCAGUAUUUAUUACCAUAUAUAUGUCAGCAAUUGCUUGCCACAAUGACCAUUAUAAUAGGGGGAAAAAUACAUUAAGAUCCAUAGAAAGAUUACAUGAAACAGCAAAUACUUUUUUAUGCGUAUCAACCCAAAAGAGCUACAUUAUCGCAAAACACACACUAAAACAACCUCGUGUCCCUAGUGCUACAGCAAUGCAGUAGGCAGAACAAGGACAAUCGCUUCCACAGUGAUAAAGCAUGCUAACAAUAGCAUUAAAUUGAUUACACAAUCUUGCUUCAUAUAUCCCUACAAGAGCCAUAAACACAAUCUUAGGUGGUAGCACAUGGUUGAAAUGUUCUGACCUGUAAGGUAUAUGUUGAUGGGUUGAACUAUCUCUAUAUUUCUUUGCCAAACCAAAGUCAAUCAUGUAUACCUGAUUAGCACGCCGUCCCAAGCCCAUGAGAAAAUUGUCUGGCUUGAUAUCUCGAUGAAGAAACGAUUUUGAAUGAACAAACUCAACACGAUUGAUCAUCUGAUCAGCAAGCAUAAGAACCGACUUCAAAGAAAGUUUCCUACUGCAGAAGUUAAAUAGAUCCUCAAGACUAGGUCCAAGCAAAUCCAUAACAAGAACAUUAUAGUCUCCCUCCACACCAAACCAUCUCACAUUUGGAAUCCCAGUUCCUCCUUGAAGGAUUCUGUAUAACUUUGAUUCAUACAGCAAUUGGGGAUGCUUUGUCUUUACAGUUUCAAGCUUAAUGGCAACCUCUUCAUUUGUCUGGAUAUUAGUUCCGAGAUAGAUCUCCCCAAACGACCCGCUGCCGAUCUUUCGACCGAGCCGAAACUUAUUACCAACACGCGGCUCCAUCAAUACGAUCAACAGAAACCCAAAAAUUGAAACCCCUAGCUACAAUACAAACCCUAAUUCGACAACUUCCUCAAGAAAAAAAAAAUUAUCAAAAAUGUGGGAAAAACAAACUAAUGCCGAGAAAAAACACGACACUGUACACCGAAUCAGCCGCACCGACAACUUGAAAAAGUCGCACGGAAACGAAGAAACCCAACAGGGGUAAAAGAAAAACAGAGAAGAUAGAAUUGAGAUCUGGAAUUUCGUGGGUCUCUGAAGAUUAGAGAAUCAAGGGAAAAAAAAAAUCCUAAUCUAGGGUUAGGUUAAUUACAGAUAAAAUGAAAAAGAAAAGUAGAAAUAAAAAUUUAGAAGUAGGUCUCUCCAGGUAUUAUCAUCCUUAUGACUCUCUACAGAAAAUCAGAGUUUUCUCUCUUUCUUCUCUCUCAUUGCUGAUCCGAUAGAAUCACAGCAAAAGACUUCUAACAAUGGGGAUGCGUGUGUAUUGUGCUUGGGCGGGGGUCUCUUUUUCUUUGUUUUUU
Molecule: unclassified non-coding RNA, 3512 nt
Filed under: Hevea brasiliensis (rubber tree)
Lineage: Eukaryota; Viridiplantae; Streptophyta; Magnoliopsida; Malpighiales; Euphorbiaceae
Source: RNAcentral